RNAcentral lists this long non-coding RNA (373 nucleotides) under Panax ginseng (ginseng). RNAcentral describes it as "long non-coding RNA (PGIN_LNC014230)". The record is from RNAcentral. Lineage: Eukaryota; Viridiplantae; Streptophyta; Magnoliopsida; Apiales; Araliaceae.
ACUAUCCUCAGCUGCUGUGAAGAUGGGACUAUAUGGCGUUGGGAUACAGUUGCAACUUCAUAGGGCCUUUAUAUAGGUUGGAUAUCAUCCGACAAUUAUCCAAGCUACCAAAAAUAUUUCUGCUCAUUAAGAUUUGAUUACUGCAGGCGGCUAAAUCUUUUAUGAGUUUUAAUUUGCAUUUUGUUUGGGUAUUACUAAACACUAAUAGUAACAUGGCUUACAUCAUUUCUAGGUGAAGAGGGGAUGAUGAGACUUGAACCCUAGCCUACUCUGGCUUUGGUUCAAUACCUCGUUUUCCUAUUUCUUUUCCUUGGUUUUGGUUGAGGGGGGAGGGGAAGGUGAUUCAAAUGUUUGCAGUUGUAAUAUAUAGGUC